This 23-nucleotide non-coding RNA is filed under the name Arabidopsis thaliana (thale cress). The record is from RNAcentral. Lineage: Eukaryota; Viridiplantae; Streptophyta; Magnoliopsida; Brassicales; Brassicaceae.
ACCUCUACGAAGAUUAACGGCGC